GAUGAACGCUAGCUACAGGCUUAACACAUGCAAGUCGAGGGGUAACGAGAGGAAAGCUUGCUUUCCUUGUCGACGACCGGCGCACGGGUGAGUAACGCGUAUCCAACCUGCCCCCAACUAGGGAAUAACCUUGCGAAAGUAAGACUAAUACCCUAUAAUUUCCUCAGAUGACAUCUGACGAGGAAUAAAGAUUUAUCGGUUGUGGAUGGGGAUGCGUCUGAUUAGCUUGUUGGCGGGGUAACGGCCCACCAAGGCAACGAUCAGUAGGGGUUCUGAGAGGAAGGUCCCCAACAUUGGAACUGAGACACGGUCCAAACUCCUACGGGAGGCAGCAGUGAGGAAUAUUGGUCAAUGGUCGGAAGCCUGAACCAGCCAAGUAGCGUGCAGGAUGACGGCCCUAUGGGUUGUAAACUGCUUUUAUACAGGAAUAAAGUUAGCCACGUGUGGUUAUUUGUAGGUACUGUAUGAAUAAGGACCGGCUAAUUCCGUGCCAGCCGCCGCGGUAA
This 506-nucleotide ribosomal RNA is filed under the name uncultured bacterium. Its description in RNAcentral is "partial 16S ribosomal RNA". It matches the Rfam family "Bacterial small subunit ribosomal RNA", at positions 28 to 523 of the family's 1533-position model. The record is from RNAcentral.